GGGAACUUCCUUCCUGCCCCCUCCGAGUUUUGCCUCUCUCACUGGCAGCAACCCAGCGCUUCCAUUGCUGACCUCUACCGACCUCUACCUGUGGUCCUUCCUCUACUGCAGCAGAGACACUGUUUUCUUCCUUUGUUCUUCCAACCCCAUGGCACAGAAACACUCUCCACUGCGGCCAAGGAUUGCAGGAGAGGUGGCAUCAGUGAUUCAAGACUUCUUUUCCUACCUCUUCAGUGUUUCUUUCAGUGAUCUGAAGUUAAAGCCAGGGGGAAUAUCACAGAAGUGAAGUGCAAUUCUCAUCAUGUCAUAUCAAGAGCACACACUAACAAACAACAUGACUUAUUGCUGAAUAUUGAACUUGAUCACCUGGCUGAGGUGAAUAAACUGACACUGGAACAUUCAGGAACUUCUUCAUGGUCAUGGUCACCCAGCUAGAGUGUGGAAGCCAGGCUGUCUGAUUCCAGGAUCUGUGUUCUUAAUCCUAUACAUAAGGAAGCCAUAAUGAGUCAACCACUAUUUUUAAGAUUCACAGAUGUUCGGGUCCAAUUCACCAGAAUGCCAAGUUAUACAGGGUUGUGGAAUCAAAAACUGCAAUUAGUAAUAAAAUGUGAUGCUAUCUAGAAUGUUUUUCAUACAUAUAUAUGCUUCUUGGGACUCUCCCUGCAGGUUAAGAGAAAUUGAGAAACGAUGGAGAAUUUAAGUGUUUUAGAUCCUACAUACAUUAGACUUAAAAAUAGUAACUAUGUACAUGAGUAUUUGUAAACUUAAGAAUGAACAUAACAUGAACCAUGUGGCACCUAUAAAAUGAAAAUAAAAUACCUACAAACCAAAUGAGAGCAAUAAAAGAAGCUUUAAGGACUUUCACUUCAGGGAGUCUGAAUUAGAUGCGCUUCUUCCCAUUCCUCCCUCUAAUUACAACAAGCUUGGACGUUACAUACAGAACAAACAGAAGGAGUCUCUGAAAGAUGAAGAGAAGGCAAGUAAGCUACAGACUUCACAAUGUAAGGAAUAAUAUGGUGAGAGACCACAUGGAAAGCCUAGAUUUCAACACCUACCCAGCAUUAAUGAGGUAUUCCUUCCCUUCUUUACUCUCUGGUGUCAAAGAAGCUCCAUGCAGAGUCAGAAUGUUUGGCAUUACUCCUCAGUAGGGAGGCCACCCCCACCACGGUGUUAGUGGAGACCAUGUGAGGACCAGGACUUGUACCCUGCCCAGAAGUAAUGAGUAGACCCCCCUCUACAGGAAGGCCAAAGGGCAACCUAAACUUCUACCUCUCUCUGGCAGUAAUAAAGUAGGGCCUCACUUUUCCCUGCUGAGCAAUGUCAAAAAAAAAAGCCAGCUGAAGUAAAAGCUUAUUUCUUUCUUUCUUUAUACAUAUUUUUGGAGACAGGGUCUUAUUCUGUCACCCACGCUGGAGUACAGUGGCCUCAUCAGGUCUCACUGCAGCCUCAACCUCCUGGGCUCAAGCAAUCCUCCCACCUCAGCCUCUUGAGUAGCUGAGACCACAGAUGUGCACCACCACACAUAGCUAACAUUAACAUUUUUUCUAGAGAUGGGGUCUUCCUGUGUUGCCCAGGCUGGUCUGGAACUCCUGGGCUCAAGUGAUCCUCCCACCUUGACCUCCUGGAGGGCUGGGAUUACAGGUAUGAGUCAUCACUCCAGGCUGAAGCUUUAUAUAAUAACCAGAGUCUCAUAUUACAAAAUGUCAAAGAUUCAGUCAAAAGUUACUUGAUAUCAAUGGACAAGAUCUCAAACUAAAUGAAAAAAAGACAAUUAAUAGAUGCUAACACUGAGAUAACAAAGUUGUUAGAAUCAUCUAACAAAGAUUUUAAAGCAGCUAUAAUAAAAGUGCUACUGCAAGUGAUUAUAAACAUGCUUGAGACAAAUGAAAAAGUGCUAUAAAGCUAAGAAAUAAAAUAUAUAAAUAAGAAUCAAAGAGAAAUUAUAGAACUAAAAGAUACCAUAACUGAAAUGCAAAGCUCCGUGGAUGGACUCAACAACAGAAUGGAAAAGACUGAGGAAAGAAGUAGUUUACAGGAAAUUAGAAUAGACUAGAAAAAAUGAACAAGACCCUGUGCUAAAGAGCAAAUAUUUAUGUCAUUGGAUUCCAGGAAAGAGAAAAGAAUGAAAAAGUACUUAAAUAAUGGCUUAAAAACUUCUCACAUUUUGCAAAGAUUUAAACCUACAAUUUGAGAAGCUGGGUAAACCUUAAACAGGAUAAAUCAAGGACACUCACACCAAGAAACAUAGUAAUUAAACUUCUGAUUAAGGAAGAAAAAGAAAAAUCUGGAAAGCAGCAAGAAAAAAAUGACACACUUUCUAUAUGGUAAAAGCAAUUUGAACAACAGAAGAUUUCUCAUCAGAAACUGUGGGGACCAUGAGGAAGUAACAGAUAUUUUUCAAGUGCUGAAAUAAAUCAACUGUCAAUACAAAAUGCUCUACUCAGUGAAAAUAUCUUUCAGGAAUAAAGGGGAAAUCAGGACACGCACAGACUUUUUUUAAAUUAAGAAUUUAUUGUCAGCUUAUCUCCCUAAAAGAAUGGCUAACAUUCUCCAAACACGAAGGAAAUUGAUAAGGAAUCUUGAAAUUUCAGUUAGAAACAAUGAAUAUGGCAAGCAAAAUGUAGGUCAGUACACUAAGUUUAAUUUCUCCUCUUGAAUUUUCUAAAUUAUGACUUAUGAUUGAAGCAAAAAUCAUAACAUUAUCUGAUGUAUAUGUAGAGGAAAGAUUUAAGACAGUGAUGUUAUAAAUGAGGGGAGUAAAGGAACAUGAGAUAACCACUAAUAUGACAUACCAAUAGACUAUGAUAAAUUAUGUGUCUAAUGUGAUUACUAGAAAAACCAGUUAAAAUAUAAAGAUUGACGGAGUGAAUUUAAAAACAUGACACACUAUAUGCUGUUUAUCAUAAACUCACUUUGAAGAUAAUGCCAUCGUCAGGUUGAAAUCAAAAGGAAUAAAAUAGUGUAUUAUGUAAACCAUCAAAAAGAGCAGGAAUGGCCAUAUUAAUAACAUUAAAGUCAGCUUCAGAACUAAGGAAAUUAUCAGAGAGGGACAUUAUAUAAUGAAAUAGUCGAUUUACCAAAAGAACAUAGCAAUCAUAAAUGUGCAUGAAGCAAACAACAAAGCUGGAAAAUAUAUGAAGUGAAACUGAUAGAUCUAAAAGGAGAAACAGAUAAAUCCAUUCAUUAUAGUUGGGGCCUUUAUCACCCCUCACUCAACAAUUGAUAGAACUGGACAGAAAACCAGUAAGAAUAUAAAAGAACUCAACAACAUGAGACAAUAGGAUCUAGUUGAUAUUUAUAGAACAUUCCAACAGCAGAAUACAUGUUCUUCAAGUGCUCACAGAACACACAUAUAAAGAUAGACCCUGAGCAUAAAACAAGCCUCAACAAAUUUAAAAGAACUGAAAUACUACAAGUACUUUCUCCAACCACAAAAGAACCAAACUAGAAAUAAAUAACAAUGAUAAUGGGAAAAUCACCAAACACUUGAAAACUGAACAACAAUAUUUUAUAACCCAUGGUCAUAGAGGAAAUCUCAAAAGAAAUUUUAAAAAUGCACUGAACUGAAUGAAAAUGAAAACAACAUAAAAUUUGUGAGACACAUAAAGCAGAACUGAUGGGAAAAUAUAUAGCACUAAAUGCAUGCUCUAGAAAAGAAAAGUCUUCAACCAGUAACCUAAGCUUCCACCUCAAAAACCUAAAAAAAGAAGGAAAAAUAGACCCAAUGCCAGCAGAAAGAUGCAAUAACAAAGAGUAGAACUCAAUGAAAUUGAAAACAGAUAAACACUUUAAAGAAUAAAACAAAGAGCUGGUUAUUAGAAAAGAUCAAUUAAUUGAUAAACCUCAAGCAAGACCGUCAAAAAAAAAAAAAAAAGGACUUACCUAUACCAGAGAUGAAAUGGGAUAUCGCUAUCAAUACUGCAAACAUCAAAAGGAUAAGUAGAUACUAUGAACUGUACACACAUUAAUCUGACAAUUUAGACAAAAUAGAUCAUUUCCCUAGAAAACACAAACUACUACAGCUUACCCAAUAUAAAAUAGAUUAUUUGAAUAGCCUUAUAAGUACUAAAAAAAAAUUAAUUAAACUCAUUAUUUAAAAAUUCCUAAAAAGAAAGCCUCCAGAGCCAAAUUGUUUCCUUCAGAAUUCCACCACAUUCAUAAAGAUUUGACAGCAAUUCUAUACAGUCUCUUUGAGAAAAUAGAAGGGGGUAUUUUCUAAUUCAUUUUAAGGAGCUAGUAAAUACCCUGAUACUGAAAUGUAUACUGCAAAUUGAUAAAAUUAUAGACCCCUGCAUAUUAAAUUUCAAAAUAAAAAUGAUAAAAAUACUUGGGUAAUGAAUAACAGCAUAACAAAAAACCACAGACCAAUAUCUCAUGAACAUAGACACAAAAAAUGCUUCACAAUAUGACAUAGAAUUCAGUAAUACAUGAGAAUUAUAUACCACAACCCAGUAAGACUUAAUCCAAGAAUGGAAGACUGGCUCAAUAUUUAAAAAUCAAUCGAUGUAGUGCAAAUAUUAAUAGCUAAUGAAGAAAUGUCAUAAAAUUAAUGCAGAAAAAGGAUUUGACAAAAUUCAACACUCAUUUAUGUAAAAAUGCUCUGAAAAAUAGGAAUUAAAGGACACCUACAAGAAACUUUCAGCUAACAUAAUUCUUAAUGCUGAAUGAUUGAAUGUUUUCUUCCUGAGCUUGAGAAUAAGGUGAGGGUAUCAUCCCUAAUGACGCUUAUUCAACAUAGUGCUCAAAGUUCUAUGAAGUGCAAUUAGGCAAUAAAGGGAAAUAAAAGACAGGUAAAAGAAGAAAUUAAAUUUUAUUUGAAAAAGCUGAUUGUCUACCUAGAAAAUCUCAAGGAAAACACUAUUAAUAUACAGAACAACCUGAAUGAAUCUUUGGAGAAUUACGCUGCAUCAGAAAAAGCCAAUCACAAAAGAUUACAUACUAUGUAAUUCCAUUUGUAUAACAUUUUGAACUGACAAAAGUAUAGAAAUGAACAGAUUAGUGGUUGUUAGGGGUGAGGGGUUAUGGGUCAGAGAUAGGAGUUGGGGAUAUAAAAAGGCAACCUGAGGGAUCCUUAUGGUGAUUGAAACAUUCUGUAUGUUGGUUCUAUCAAUGUCAAUACUCUGGUUGGACUAUGGUUCCACAGUUUUGCAAGAUGUUAUUGAGGAAAACGGCAUAAAUGGUGCCCAGGAUCUCUCUAUUGUUUCUUACUGAUUAUGUAUCUGCAAUGAUUGCAAAAUAAAAAGGUUUAAUUUUUAAAAAGGAUUAAACAUUACAUAGCAUACACUUGAGUAAAAGACAAAAUCUGGCUAAGGAUUAUUUUUGUCCUAAGUAAUAUGUGGAUUUUGUACAACAUAAAUCACAAUCCCCUAAAAUCUAUAUUGUAAAUUGAUAAAAUGUAAAACCUGUGUAUUACAGAAUAAAAGAUGAACAAAAAUUACAAAACACUAAGAAAUACCCUAGUGCCCCAAUGUAUCAGUAGACAAACACAUGGACAGAUAGUUUGCAAAAGGGGAAGUACAUAUGGUGAAUAAACAUUAUGAGAUGUCUAAUAUUGUUAGCUAUCAAUGAAACAUGAAAUAAAAUGAUGACAUUGCACACAUCUCAAGUCUCUGGCAGAGCACAGACCAAACUGAAAUUUCCCACUUCACCUGGAAUUUAACUUGCUUAAUCAUUUUUCCUCAAUCUAAGUAAAUUCGUAACUAUUCUUUCUAAAUACAUUCACUAGAAUAAUCG
Molecule: long non-coding RNA, 5733 nt
Filed under: Homo sapiens (human)
Lineage: Eukaryota; Metazoa; Chordata; Mammalia; Primates; Hominidae
Description: HSALNT0135119
Source: RNAcentral